UCCGCGCUGUCCCUGUGACUGUGGUCAUUAGGCAGGCAGGAGCCAUGUUAAGCUGCACGGUAACUCCAAGUAAGCGCAGGCGCAAUAACGGAGACAGCAACAGUAUUCAUAAUAAGGUAACGUUACUUACUUUAUGAAGAAACUUGCCCCUUCGUCCGUAAAACCUUCCUCCCAUCCCCGAGGUAGGUCUGAAAUACCAAACCGACAGACUUAGUUCGUGACACUUGAAAGUUUUCUCCCCUUCGGGCCCCAACAUAAACACUGAACUUAGCGGCGAACACAAAUAACAGAGUAAAGUAAACACGAGCACACAGGUGAAACAGCCGCGCGGAACUAGCUUGGCUAAAGUUAGCUACCUGAGCGGAUCAUGUGUCCGGAGUUGACGGGUUCACCGGUGCGGGGAUGGAGCCAGGUAGUGGUGCGCACCUCAUCGCUGCAGCACAGACACAGAGAGGAGAAAAAAAAACACCUGUUACACCGACGGGAAGGGGAAACACCAGCAGACUCCGCCAACCCUCGUUAAAACGAGAGAGACGGCGCGUUAAAGCGCUCAUUAUCCCACUCACUUGAUGAAGAAGACCCUGCCGUCCCUGCAGACACCGUAGGACCAGUGCUCAGGACAGCUCAGCCAUGAAAAGGGAGAGAGAGCUGGAAGACAUGCAGGAAAACCGUCACAGGUCGGACUCAAACCCUAGACCUUCUGCAUCGAAGAAUAAACCUCUGUAUAUGUGUGCCUACUCUACCACCUGAGCUAACUGGCCACGUGAUUCUGGAUUUUUGAGGCCAAUAAUGAUAAAAUAUUGACUACUGACUAUGUUUUUUCUACCUAAAUACCUCUUAAAAUAAACAAUGAUAUUUAUUUAAGUAAAAUAAGCCUCAAAAGUAUAGAUGCAGACUAUGAAUAUAAAGAUGCAGACUAUGUAACACUUUUCUAGUCAAUUAUUUCCCAAUACCUUUCUAAAACGUUUCUAAUUCUAUACUAAUUAUUGACAAAGUUAUUUUAGGAUUUAGUUACUUGACUUUAUAAGCAGUUUUUUUGUUUAUUCAUGGUUCAUUUAUUAUUGGAAACCUUUUUCUCCAAAUACUGUAUGUUUUAUUGUACACCGGCCUGUAUACAAAUGACCUGUUGACCUGCUGUACACUGACUAUAAACAUUUCAUUAGAUAAUUAA
This is a long non-coding RNA of Perca flavescens (yellow perch), 1171 nucleotides long. RefSeq lists it as uncharacterized. The transcript has 2 exons. The record is from RefSeq and is a predicted model, not a curated record. NCBI's taxonomy places the organism in Eukaryota, Metazoa, Chordata, Actinopteri, Perciformes, Percidae.